Molecule: ribosomal RNA, 253 nt
Filed under: uncultured bacterium
Lineage: Bacteria
Description: partial 16S ribosomal RNA
Rfam family: Bacterial small subunit ribosomal RNA
Source: RNAcentral
UACGGAGGGGGCGAGCGUUAUUCGGAAUUAUUGGGCGUAAAGGGCGCGUAGGCGGCACGAUAAGUCAAAGGUGAAAUCCCUCGGCUCAACUGAGGAACUGCCUUUGAAACUGUCGAGCUUGAGUCCGGGAGGGGGUAGCGGAAUUCCCAGUGUAGCGGUGAAAUGCGUAGAUAUUGGGAGGAACACCAGUGGCGAAGGCGGCUACCUGGACCGGAACUGACGCUGAGGCGCGAAAGCGUGGGUAGCAAACAGG